Daphnia pulex (common water flea) is the source of this 46-nucleotide non-coding RNA. The record is from Rfam. Lineage: Eukaryota; Metazoa; Arthropoda; Branchiopoda; Diplostraca; Daphniidae.
CAAUCGGCCCUUUUCAGGGCCACCAUUUUGUAAAGAAAGAUUAUCG